CCUACGGGUGGCAGCAGUGGGGAAUAUUGGACAAUGGUGGAAACCCUGAUCCAGCGACGCCGCGUGAGUGAAGAAGUAUUUCGGUACGUUAAGCUCUAUUAGCAGGAAAGAAAAUGACGGUACCUGACUAAGAAGCCGCGGCUAACUACGUGCCAGCAGCCGCGGUAAGACGGAGGGGGCAAGCGUUAUCCGGAUUUACUGGGUGUAAAGGGAGCGUAGACGGCAGCGCAAGUCUGGAGUGAAAUGCCGGGGCCCAACCCCGGAACCGCGCUGGAAACUGUGAAGCUGGAGUGCAGGAGAGGUAAGCGGAAUGCCUGGUGUAGCGGUGAAAUGCGUAGAUAUCAGGCAGAACACCGGCGGCGAAGGCAGCUUACUGG
Molecule: ribosomal RNA, 377 nt
Filed under: uncultured bacterium
Lineage: Bacteria
Description: partial 16S ribosomal RNA
Rfam family: Bacterial small subunit ribosomal RNA
Source: RNAcentral